UGCAAGUCGAACGGUGAAGGCGGAGCUUGCUCUGCUGGAUCAGUGGCGAACGGGUGAGUAACACGUGAGCAAUCUGCCCCUGACUCUGGGAUAAGCGCUGGAAACGGCGUCUAAUACUGGAUACGAGCUGCGAAGGCAUCUUCAGCAGCUGGAAAGAACUUCGGUCAGGGAUGAGCUCGCGGCCUAUCAGCUUGUUGGUGAGGUAACGGCUCACCAAGGCGUCGACGGGUAGCCGGCCUGAGAGGGUGACCGGCCACACUGGGACUGAGACACGGCCCAGACUCCUACGGGAGGCAGCAGUGGGGAAUAUUGCACAAUGGGCGAAAGCCUGAUGCAGCAACGCCGCGUGAGGGACGACGGCCUUCGGGUUGUAAACCUCUUUUAGCAGGGAAGAAGCGAAAGUGACGGUACCUGCAGAAAAAGCGCCGGCUAACUACGUGCCAGCAGCCGCGGUAAUACGUAGGGCGCAAGCGUUAUCCGGAAUUAUUGGGCGUAAAGAGCUCGUAGGCGGUUUGUCGCGUCUGCUGUGAAACCCCGAGGCUCAACCUCGGGCCUGCAGUGGGUACGGGCAGACUAGAGUGCGGUAGGGGAGAUUGGAAUUCCUGGUGUAGCGGUGGAAUGCGCAGAUAUCAGGAGGAACACCGAUGGCGAAGGCAGAUCUCUGGGCCGUAACUGACGCUGAGGAGCGAAAGGGUGGGGAGCAAACAGGCUUAGAUACCCUGGUAGUCCACCCCGUAAACGUUGGGAACUAGUUGUGGGGUCCAUUCCACGGAUUCCGUGACGCAGCUAACGCAUUAAGUUCCCCGCCUGGGGAGUACGGCCGCAAGGCUAAAACUCAAAGGAAUUGACGGGGACCCGCACAAGCGGCGGAGCAUGCGGAUUAAUUCGAUGCAACGCGAAGAACCUUACCAAGGCUUGACAUAUACGAGAACGGGCCAGAAAUGGUCAACUCUUUGGACACUCGUAAACA
Molecule: ribosomal RNA, 970 nt
Filed under: Microbacterium lacticum
Lineage: Bacteria; Bacillati; Actinomycetota; Actinomycetes; Micrococcales; Microbacteriaceae
Description: bacterial SSU rRNA
Rfam family: Bacterial small subunit ribosomal RNA
Source: RNAcentral